AGAGUUUGAUCCUGGCUCAGAACGAACGUUGGCGGCGUGCUUAACACAUGCAAGUCGAACGAGAACGGUUUCUUCGGAAACUCAGUAAAGUGGCGCACGGGUGAGUAACGCGUAAGUAAUCUACCCUUGCAUUUGGGAUAACUACGGGAAGCUGUAGCUAAUACCGAAUACGUUCUCCUUUCUACGGAUUGGAGAAGAAAGAUGGCCUCUUCUUGAAAGCUAUCGUGCAGGGAGGAGCUUGCGUACCAUUAGCUAGUUGGUAGGGUAAAGGCCUACCAAGGCGACGAUGGUUAGCGGGUCUGAGAGGAUGAUCCGCCACACUGGAACUGGAACACGGACCAGACUCCUACGGGAGGCAGCAGUGAGGAAUAAUGCGCAAUGGGGGAAACCCUGACGCAGCGACACCGCGUGGAUGAUGAAGGCCUUAGGGUCGUAAAAUCCUGUCAGAUGGGAAGAAAUGCAUAUCUAUUAAUACUAUUUAUGUUUGACGGUACCAUCAAAG
Molecule: ribosomal RNA, 502 nt
Filed under: uncultured bacterium
Lineage: Bacteria
Description: bacterial SSU rRNA
Rfam family: Bacterial small subunit ribosomal RNA
Source: RNAcentral